CUCGCAUUUAAAAGAAGUAAAUAUCUCCCACCCCCAUGACAAGCGAAUGGUUGUGCCCAGGAAGCUCGAGCUCGUGUUUAGGGAAGUGAAUCUGUGCUUUGAGUGUCUUCUCGCAUCUUCAAGGAAACUUUGAUUUCUUGUCGUAAACCUUCUACCUCGUGUACAUUUAACUUUUUAACCGAUGCAGUCACUUUAAAAGCUAAUACAGCCUUGACAGUUUUUUGAAUGAAUGAUCCAGAGAGACUGUUAACCUCGAUAAAAGCAGCUCUCGGUUAUUCUUCCUCACAGACCUCAGUUGAUAUGUGGGAAUGGCAGAUUUUGAGUCUGGUGGGCUUCAUCCUUUUAGGUCUUUUUCUCUUUGCUGUAGGCUAUAUCUUGUACUCCGGACUGACAAGUGAAAUCAUUAUCAAGACUGGUUUACCCCCGGUCAGGAGCAUCACUGUAGCCUAUAAAUACAGGACAGGAGCUUAUAAAGACUGCGGCUCAGUCUUCAAAGAGAGCAGCAGCAUUGGACCCAAGCUGUCAUGCAUUGGGAUCUUCUAUGACGACCCAAAGAAGGUUCCAGCUCAAAAGUGCCGCUAUGCUGUAGGCAGUAUUUUGAGUGAAGGUGAGGACCGACUCAAUGAAGAACAGCAGAAGCUUUAUGAGAAUCACGGCUUCCGGGUUUUCUCAUUUCCAGAGGUCACACAUGUCGUCACGACCUCCUUCCCUCACCGAACCCCUCUCUCUAUUUUCCUGGGAGUGCAGAGGGUUUAUCCACAGCUCAACUACUACAUCAAGGAAAGGAAAUUGUGUGCACAUCCAUUUCUGGAGAUCUAUCGAGGGGGAACGAUCCACUAUAUGAGUCCACUGGCCCGGCAGGGGGAUUUCUAUGUUCCUGAAGUUAGAGAAGCCCAAAGAUGGUUACCGGGAAAAUCGCCUGAAGAGGACGAGAGGACGGACAUCACAGGUGCUGAUUCCAACAGCGAGCGCAGUUCUUCUGUGAGCCAGCAGGACGCUUCACCUGCCCCGUCCAGCACGCGGACACACUCGCACCCGGACAGACAGCAAUACUGGGACUUCGAUCGUGUGGAGAGAAGCGACACCUCCAGCGUCUCUUCCUUCGAGGAGCUGGAGCUGGAUUCGGACAGGUGCGAACACACUCUUCCAGCCCUCGCAACAGGCGGAAAACACAACCUGCAGGACCAGGACAGAGAGAUCAUGGUGGAGGAAGAGUAAGAUGGAGAGCAGUGAAUUGUGGGAAAUGUGAGGGAUGUGUUUUGACUUUGAUAGUUCACUCAAAAAUCAAAGUUCUGUCAUUAGUUUUGUUCUUCCAAAAGGCUCAUUUAUACUUUGUUCGACCGUAUUCAAAUUUUACUUACAUUUUAUGAAGUAACAAUAGUAGUUACAAUUAUUACAAUGCUUUCAAUUAAGGUUUAGAUUUCACCUUUUCUUUUUUAAAUUUUAUUUUGUUUGUUUUUUGGAUUAUUUUACUAUAUAAUAAUUAACUACAAAAUUUCAGUAAUUAUUUUCUCCAGAAAUCACCAAAAAAAAAAUUUAUCAAAAUGGUUUGGUGUUUUCCAUGAAAUAUUUAAAUUUUAUUUAGACAUGAUAUGUCCUGUUACUUUUUAUUUGUUGUCAUUUUAAUUUUGCUGUAAUUUCUUUAGCAUAAUUUGACUAUAACAAUUAAUUAUAUAAUUAUUAUCAUUAUUUUCCCUUCUAGAAUCCACAAUACAAGUCGUUCAUAUGGAUUCCAAGAAAUUUAAUUUUUUUUAUUUGAAUGCAGUCAUAAUAUUUUUGCAGUAAUCUUUUUCUUCUAAUUUUAGUUUUUUUUUUUUUGUUUUUUUUUUUGCAUAAUUUGACUACAUAAUAAUUAAUUAUAUAAUUAUUAUCUGUAUUUUUUCUCUCCAAAAACAAAAAUGUAAAAAUGAUCCAUAUAGUUUGGUGUAGAAAGAAAUAUUAUUUUUAAUUUUAUUUGGAUGCAGUCAUAAUAUUUUU
RNAcentral lists this long non-coding RNA (1977 nucleotides) under Danio rerio (zebrafish). RNAcentral describes it as "testis expressed 264, ER-phagy receptor b (ENSDARG00000087939.3)". Lineage: Eukaryota; Metazoa; Chordata; Actinopteri; Cypriniformes; Danionidae. The record is from RNAcentral.